Molecule: small nuclear RNA, 107 nt
Filed under: Microcebus murinus (gray mouse lemur)
Lineage: Eukaryota; Metazoa; Chordata; Mammalia; Primates; Cheirogaleidae
Source: RNAcentral
GUGCUCACUUUGGCGGCACGUAUACUGAAAUUGGAAUGAUACAGAGAACAUUAGCAUGGCCCCUGUGCAAGGAAGACAUGCAAAUUUGUGAAGCAUUCCAUUAAAAA